This 2931-nucleotide long non-coding RNA is filed under the name Olea europaea subsp. europaea. The record is from RNAcentral. Lineage: Eukaryota; Viridiplantae; Streptophyta; Magnoliopsida; Lamiales; Oleaceae.
CCUUGAUUGCCCUCUCUCGCGAUCGUACAAAGAAAAUCGAAAGAAUAUAAGGCAAUUGAGACCUAUACCAGUAAGUAUUAUCUUCCCUACUUCAAUUUCUUCCUCUAUUGUUGAAUUUGCGAUUUUUUUUACUGUAGCCCACCUUUUUUGACUAUCCACCUAGACAUUUUCUAUUUCUUAUGUAGUUGGGCUUCCAGGUUUGUUGAAACUUGAAAUCUUAACCAUUUUUUUUUAAAGGGAAUCUACAAUUUUCUCUAAUAUCUAUUGCUUCAUCAGUUCCUGUGCUCAAUCCAGCUUCAUCAGUCUUCGUCGUAGCUGAUUUUACAAGGUGGGCAAAAAUUAGAGGUAAGAAACAAUGUGGGUUUCUUUUUUGUUGUUUAAUUUCGCCUUUUCGUUGAUCUAUCUUCGUAUCUAAAACUAUGUAUAUGAAAGUUUGCAUAUGCCCUCUUGCGUUCUUCUUGCUAUUUGUGAUCGAAAUUUGCUAUCUUCCUAUGUAUUUACUAAUCUUACCAUUCAUGGAGGCUUCGAAUUUGAGUCUCAUGCUUUUAAAGUUGAUAUACAAUCUUAUUGUAUAUGAUAAUACAAACUGAGUUUAUUUUUUUAACCCAAACCUUAUAAGCCUAAUUCAAUCAUUUACUUCCCUAAUCUUUACUUUAUUAAUUUUGGAUGGACCAAAAAAGAUAAAAAAACUCAUCGAGAACAAAGGAAAAAGGUGAACAGGAAAUAUUUGACGUCUUUAUAUUUGAAUUCCACUUCAAACAAUAAAAAUCAUAAAAACAGAGAAGUGUUUCCAAAAGGCAACGAGAAAACUUAAGCUUGGAGAAAUUGAUUUGGCUAGAAUAUAAGGUAAGUCAGGAAGCCUUUAUUUGAAAAAUUAGUUUAGAUAUAUAUUUUUAUCUGUUAAGAUUAAGAGUUUCAUUCCUAAUCUAAUAUUCAGGAUUUUCAUAAAUACUAAGGGGUUUAAGUGAUAUAAAUUUACUUAGAAUUGAUAUAAUGAUUACUUGUGCUAACUUCUAUUUCCAUUUUUCAACUAUGACAUAAGAUUAGCCAAAAGUUAGUUUUAUAUGUUUAUAGUUCUGGAAUCAAAUUGUUUUGAUUCAAUUAUGUUGGAAAGAGAAGAAACCCAACAAAACCACGUGGAUUAAAAUUGUUGGAAGAGAAAAAGCAGAUAGUGAAAUGAAUUUCAUUUGAUAAUCGUAUGUGAAAUAUACUUUGAUUAGUAGAGAAGACAACGAAAAUUAUAUCAAAUUGAACAGAGCAUAAAUGAAAAGAAAUGAAUUGCAAUCUUUUAUUGUCAAAUUGCAAUCUUUGAUUUCGUGAAUUUGGUAUUGUUAAGCCUCAAAAACAAUAGAUUACAUUUGUUUUUGUGUAAUAGAUGUAUGAGUAAUUGUAUUCAUAUACAUAUUGGUACGUACUUUUUUUUGACGUUUUGGGUUUUUUAUACAGACAGAAACUAUAUAUUCUAACAUCAUAAAAAUAAACCAAGGAAAGCAUAUUAUGCCAUGUUAACUUGAAGUUUUACAAGCAUUUACAACCACAAGUGACAAGGUAAAGAAUCUAAAUUAAGAUUUGAGGUAUUAGGGUUCUUAUAUUAUUAUAAGUAUACUUAUCCUGAUCAGAAAAUUGAAGGAAAAUUUGUUUUACAUGUUAGAAUUUGAAUGGUAUUUACGCAUAAGAUUUGAAUUUGAGUGGACAAAAACUCCCUACCUUCUUUUGGAUGUCAUUAUGGAUUAAAAUUUUUAAUACAGAACUUCUCUGUUUCAUAAAUUUGAUUGGUAAGAAUAUAUUCCACUUAGAAAGAUGAUAAGGAACAUAACAUGAAACGAGUCUGCCUUAUUUACCUACAACCCAAUAUUUGGAAAUCCUUAAUUAUAAAUCACAAUUCAAAUCCAAUCUUGAAAUUACUACAUUCCAUUGGCCAAACUGUUAGGGAUAAACAAAGAGGGGGAAUUACUUUGGCACAAAGAAUAAAGAUGGUGUGUUCCAUCACAAAUUGAUUGCACUUAAAAAAGAUGAAGAAAAGAAAUGUAAUCUCAUUCUAACUUUGCCAAGCAAAUUAGUCAUUAAUCAAUUGUGAACAAAAGGUUAAACUUCAUUUCCACAACAUAGGAUAGAGUCUCUACUUAAAGUCAUUGAAGCUCAUACUAAAUGUAAAUCAUUAGAUUGAGAGUUAAAUCGAAGAAUGUAAAUAGUUGUCUGUGGUUUAACAAAAUAUUCAAUACUAGGGUUCUUUAUCAAGCAUCUGUGAUUCCUAUCAUGUACGUUUUUCAUUUCCAUGUAUGAAAAUUAGGUUACACACACACACACACACACACACAUAUAUAUAUAUGGAGACGAUUUUGCAAAUAAUCAGUUUAUUAAAAUGUUGUAGAAUUUAUAGAUAGAGACGAUCAAGCUUCUUUACUGUGCAAUCACUUUCAUGGAUUUAUCUAUGGAAGUAUGUAUAAAGAACAAAAUGAAAAAUUUAGUAGCAAAUUAAUACACGAGUUCAUAAUGAGACUUAUCAACUGCGGCAAAAAAAAAUGAAGUUUGGGUAUGAUUAAAUGAUCAUGUGGCCUGUUUUAGUAUACAAGAAUUUUGUUUAAUCACUAGAUUACCAUGCCAUGAAGUUGCUGUUGAUCUCAAUUUUAGUAAUACUCAACUUAGGGAUGAAUACUUCAAUGGUACAAAAAGAAUUACUAUGAAAAGACUUUCUGAAGUAUUUCACAUGUGUCAAGAUCGAGACGAUAAAUUCAAGCUAGGAUUAGUUAUGUUCGUCGAAUGCGUUUUAAAACCAAAUGGAAGGCACAUCGAUUUUAGAACUCUUGGAAUGAUUGAACAACUUGAUGAGUUUCUUAUGUAUCCACGGAAAUGUAAAACAUAUUUUGUUUUAUUAAAUUAAUUGCAAGAAUCACACCUCGAAAGAGUACGAAGAAUGCAACAAAAUGACCA